RNAcentral lists this ribosomal RNA (577 nucleotides) under uncultured bacterium. RNAcentral's name for it is "bacterial SSU rRNA". It matches the Rfam family "Bacterial small subunit ribosomal RNA", at positions 338 to 916 of the family's 1533-position model. The record is from RNAcentral.
CCUACGGGAGGCAGCAGUAAGGAAUAUUGGUCAAUGGGCGCAAGCCUGAACCAGCCAUGCCGCGUGCAGGAUGACGGCCCUCUGGGUUGUAAACUGCUUUUAUACGGGAAGAACAGCAUCUACGUGUAGGUGUUUGACGGUACUGUAAGAAUAAGGACCGGCUAACUUCGUGCCAGCAGCCGCGGUAAUACGAAGGGUCCAAGCGUUAUCCGGAUUUAUUGGGUUUAAAGGGUGCGUAGGCGGCUUUUUAAGUCAGUGGUGAAAGCCUGAUGCUCAACAUCAGAACUGCCAUUGAUACUGAAGAGCUUGAGUACAGUUGAGGUUGGCGGAAUGUGUCAUGUAGCGGUGAAAUGCUUAGAUAUGACGCAGAACACCGAUUGCGAAGGCAGCUAGCUAAGCUGUUACUGACGCUGAUGCACGAAAGCGUGGGGAGCAAACAGGAUUAGAUACCCUGGUAGUCCACGCCCUAAACGUUGAUAACUCGUUGUUAGCGAUAUACUGUUAGCGACCAAGCGAAAGCAUUAAGUUAUCCACCUGGAAGUACGGUCGCAAGAUUGAAACUCAAAUGAAUUGACGG